AACUAAAGAAGCAAAUGAAAGGAAAUAGAAACAGUAUGAAACGAAACAGAGAGCAGGGGAGAAAAGAAAGAAAGAAGGGGAGAAAAGGGAAAAUUUAAGGUUUGAAGCUUUAAGCUCUAAUAGGUAAGUCAAUCAAGCCCUUUUUACUUAAUUUUGAUGUUUUAGAAGUUUUAGAAUAAAGUUUUGAUGAAAUUAAGUUGAUAUUUUGAUAGUUAUUAGAUUUCUAGAUAUUGUCCAUGUUAAAUAAAAUGAUGAAUUAAUGGCUAAAUUGAUAGAAGUUCAAGUUAAAAAUGAUACAAGGAUUGAAUUGUAAAGUGAUUCAUAAGUUUUAUGCUUUAAGGACUAAAUUGAAAGAAUUUCGAAAUUAUGGUUUUAUGAUGAAAAAUAGAUAAUUAUGUCUAAGUUUGGUUAAAAUUUGAGUAGAAAUAAAGUAUGAAUUAAGAUAGAAAAGUAAGUGAAUUCAGUUAGAAUUAAAUUGAAAUUAAAGUAAAUCAACAUUUUGUAUUAAGACUAUUUUGGACAGCAGCAGUAAUCUAAGUUUGAAAAAUCACCAAAAAUUGUAGAAAUUGAAUUAGAGGAUGAAUAAAAUAUGGAAUUAAAUAUUAUUGAGUCUAGUUUCUUAUAGAAGAAACAAUAUAAGCAAUUGAAUUGUAAAUUAUGAGAUAUAAUGAAUUUUGUGAGACAAGGUCAGAAUGAAUUCGGGUUCCCCUGUUCUGACUUUGGAAAAUCACCAAAAAUUUAAGAAAAAUAAUUAUAGGCUUAAAGUUAUAUUUUUAGAAUCCCUAAUGAGUCUAUUUUCAGGAGAAAUCAACGGGAUUAUUAUCCGAGUUCUGUACUGUGAGAUAAUUAAUUUUUAGUGAAGAAGGGACGAAACUGUCAGACAGCAGAAUAGGGGUGAAUUUAAAGAAUAAACUGUACUUAAUGGCUAAACCAAAAAUUCUGAAAUUUUUAUUGUAAGAAUAUUUGUGAGUCUAGUUUCAGGAAAAAUUAGCGGAUCUUAAUUUAGAAUUCUGUAACUCAAGAUAUGAAUUAGUAAUGUAUUAAUGAUUAUGAAUUGUAUUAAUUUCAUAGUCAAUGUGGUACCGGAAAUCUCGGCUAAGAAAGGACAAGACAAAGUCAACGGGAGUUAGCUCGAAAAUUACGGUUUGUAUUUCUAUAAUCCGAACUUAGUCAUUAUUUAUUAUAUUUAUAUACAUAUGGAAAAUGUUAGUGAUUGAAUUAUGAUGUUUUACAAUUGAAAUAGAUUGAUUUUAGUAUGCGAUGAAUUUAUUGAAUUUAUAUUGAUUGAAAUUAUUUUGAUUGAAUUUGUAUUGAUUGAAUUAUAUAAUAUAUAUGAUUUAUGUAGAAAUUUGAUUAUUGAAUGAAUAUUAUAUUGAAAAAUAUAUUGAUUGGAAAUAUGAGGAAAUUGAUAUGAAUAUAUGAGAUUGUGAUAAUUGAAUAUUUGAUAUUGAAAAGUGAAUUGAAUUGUAUUGAAUUAUGAAUUAAUGUGAAUAAUUGAAAUAUAUUGUUGAAUUGAAUGAAAUUGUAUGAAUUUUGAAAAUGGGUGAAUAUAUGUGAUUAUCAGAACGGUAUAUUGAUGAAAGAAUUAUUAAAUUGAGAAAGUGAAUGAAAUACCCUAUUAACUAGUCGGGCUGAGUCGGAUAUAAUUGGCAUGCCAUAGGAUCUGGAAGUGUACGGGAUUUGCCGGCUUUAUCGAUCAGGCACUUUAUGUGUCAUAUUUCAGGCACCUCGUGUGUCGUAUCAGGCACCUCGUGUGUCGUAUCAGGCACCUCGUGUGUCGUUUUAGGCACUUUAUGUGUCGUAUACUGAUCAGGUACUAUGUACCGUUUUAGGCACAAUGUGUCGUACUGGUGUGUUUGGGUUGGAAUCCGUGUAUCCGUCAAAGUCUGGAUUUGUUAAUAGGGGUAAAUAAGUGAAAGAUAAAUCGAAUAAAUUUGAUUGAUCAAGCUAUUGAAAUGAAACGAGAAAUUGAAUUGAGAAUUGAAAAUUUAGAUAUGAAAUUGAAAAUAUGAACCAAAGGUUCAUGAAAUGAUUGGAGUUCGAAUUGAUGAUAUAUGAUGCCACUUGAUGAAUUGAAAUGUGAUUUGAGAUAUAUGAAUCGUAUGUAUAUACUGAAAACUACCAGGGAUAGUAAGUUGAUAUGAUAUAAAUGAAAUUGACAGUUAUUGAAAUGAAUUAAAAUGGAAUAUGAUUGAUAAGUGUAUAGUUGAAUAUAGUUUAAUGAUAUUGAAUUGUGAGUAAAUUAAGGAAAGCUAUACCGAGUAGUAAGUGAAAGAAUGGAGUAAAUAAUAAUGGAUUUAGUUAAGAAUUGAACAAUUAUGUUAUUGUGUUUAUUAUAUGAUUUGUAUAAAAUUUAUAUGGUAAGUAGUUGAAAUUUAUCUAUGAAUAAAUAAUUGCAUAAUUGUAAUUGUUAUUAUGAUCUUAAGUAUUUGUUAUAUUAUUAAAUGUUCGGAUUAUAGAAAUGCCACUGAGUAUACCAUACUCAGCGUACGGUUUGUUUCCGUGCGCAGGUUAAGUAAAGAUAGUACGUUGAAUUAGUAUCCCAAGACGAUCCCGAAUUCAUUAAGGUAAAGUAUGUUGAGUAUUGAUAAUGGCAUGUACCCAGGAUGUUUAAUGAGAGUCACUUAGGUUGUAAAAGUAUUGAUGAAAUAAGUAAAUUAUGGUUGGUAACGGUAUAUAGUAUGAAUUUUGAAAUUUACUAAAAAUUCGUAGUGAUUCUAAAUUAAUCCCGAAUUGAAUUUACUGUUCAUAUUAGACUGCGAGGGCCCAUUAAAGGACGACAUCUUAAAACUAGGAUGUGUGUGAAUAUUUAUUUUAAUUAAUGACCGAAAUUGGACUGUACUGACUGGUAAUGUCUCGUAACCCUAUUCCGGUGACGGUAUAAGGUUAGGGGACGUUACACCAAUGGUUGGUAAAGAUAAUUUAAAAGUAGUUGUUACAUUUUGUAAUAAUGCCUUUAUUAAGCUUAAUAUCAUGCUUUGUGAUAGUUUGUUGUUUUUAGAAUCUUAGGCUGCUAUUUUUCAACAAACUCUUCUUCCUAAUACCCUACACAUAAGAUUAUAAAAAUUAUGUAAUAUAAGUUAAUCCAUUAUAAAUAUAUAUUGAUCAUAGCUCACACCAGUUGAUUAUGAUGUAUUAACCUUUUGUUUGAAAAUUAGACAAAAGCAAUUGAUGAAUUAAAACAAAAUUACUCAAAAUUCAGUUCAAUGGGAGGUAUUAUGCCUGUUCUUGUUGGACUGAACUGAUGCAAUAAUUGACUCACAACAAUCAUCCCUCAUUCAAGUUGAGAGGCUUUCAACCACAUUGUUAUUAUUAUGUAGGCACAUAAUUUCAUUCUAUAUUUCAACUUCUUCAGCUUAAACGCAAAAAACCAAUCUAUCUAGAGAAAUUGAUGAGAGAUGGAAUCUAAAAGUUCAUACCAAUUAAAGAUUUAAUAUCAAUUUUUGUACUAUUCUAUUUAUGAUUCAAUCCACAAUAAUAAUAUUCGUUUACAUCUUAAAAUGAAUAAAGUGAUGAAUAAUAUACUUCCCAUGUUUUCUGGCUUGCUAGUUUGAGGAAGAACCACUUGUAGGGCACCCAUGAAUAUUUAGUUUCGACGCCUAAUAAUAUCAAAAGCAAAAAGAACUUUAUUUCAAUAUAAUUACUAAAUGAUAGAAGGUGAUUUGACCACUUAGCAAAUCUAGUGCAUAAUUAGCCUCGUGAACUAUAUACUUCGCAGCGUCAAUAUUCAAAAGUUGGCUAAACUUGGCUUUACACGAAAGUGGCUACCAGAAAAAGUGUAGGCAACAAUUUCGUAUUCAAAAGCUACAAGCUAAAUAUCAAAUUUCCGAGCUCAAAUAGAUGGAGAUGCUGCUAUGAAAAUGAGAGAAUUGAUGGAGGGGGACAAUAAGUAUAUGCCAACUAUUUGAAGUUCUAUUAUAGGAAAUAGGUAACAACAAUUGUGAUACAUUUUUUCUUUAUCUUGAAAGUACAUUUAUCUAAUACUCAGGUCAUCUAUUCGAUAUAAUAAAUCUAGCUCAAAUUGGAUACAAUUUAGAACAAAUUCUUAAUUAUUACAAUCAUAUCCUUCUAUUUUAAAUUACUAUUUAAAUAAUAAUUUUCUACUUAAACAUAUUCACUUAAAGAUAUUAGUUUUGAAGAAUUCGUUUAAUGGCGUAUAAGUUGUUAUAGUAAAUAGUCAAAACAUUUAAGUUAUACAAAAUUUUAGCUUGCACAAAUAUUAUAAUUCACACCAUAGAUAAUGCAAAGUGCCAUUAACAAUGGAAGUUUAAGGUGACUAAAAGUGGCUGUAGAGUGCUUAUAUUGUGAGCAGAUAGUCUUCUCUCUUAUGGAUCUUCCCAUUGUUUUGGUGUAAAGAUGAGGUAUUUAUAGAAGGAGAUUAGUUGGUCAUCAACCCCAACCAUCAAGCAUCUUACUCCACAUGUGCAGGGGGUAGAGUGGCUAGUUGCUAGCUAAGGGCAUUGUUGGAGUCAAUGCAAGGUGGCUAGGUGAAGUGUCAUCAAGUUUGAGUAGGUGACAAAUUGAUGGGUGUUGUCAAGAGUUCUUCUCUAUAUAGUACAAAUCCUUAUCAAAAUAGUCAGAAAAUAGAACUAAAAUUCUCCUAAUAAAGUCUAGAAUAAAUAAGAUACAUUUAAGAUAUUCUUCAAAUCAUUCAAUCCAAUCUCUAAAAAAUAGAAAAUCUUAUUUAUAUGAUCAAGUUCAAUCCAAUUCUCUUACGAUUUGUUUCUCCAUUAGAACAACCUUCAUAAAUGGGCCAACACAUUUAGAUGUGAUGUAACACCCUCUAACCCUGUCCCGUUGCUGGAACAGGAUUAUAGAGUAUUGCCGAUCAUUACAGUACAUUUGCACAUAAAAUAAGAAUAAAUGUAAUGCUAUACAUCUAAACAUAGCUUUAAUGGGCCCACAGUAGUUAUUAAGUAUAAUUAAAUCAAACCGGAGCUCAAUCAAAAACAUAGAAAAUUUUUCGUGCAACUUUAAAAUUUCUUCUUUUGAAUAGUACCACACGCCCGUGUGGCUAAUGUGACGCCUGUGUGAUUUUUAUGACACACCCGUGGAGGCCAAACGUGUGGUUCACACGGCCUGGACACUCCCGUGUCCUCUACCCGUGGAGUAUUCUGACUUAGAGCUUAUAAAUUCACUAAUUUCACACGGCCAAGGCACACGUCUGUGUGCUUAGCCCGUGUGCAAACCUAUUUGUAGCAUUUUAGGUGCAGGAGACACAGGGCCUAGCAACAUGCCCGUGUACAAGCCGUGUGUCUCACACGGUCUGGUCACACGCUCGUGUGACAAACCAUGUGGACUCAAAACAAACCUUAUAUUUUAAAAUUACCAACCUUGCAAAUUGUAGACAACAAGCAUUUCAAUAUUUCUCCAUUCAACUAGUCCAAACAUGAUUAAACACACUUAAUACUCAUUAAACCAUCAUAUCAUAAUCUAAUACAUAUAUUUAAUAAUGCCUUAAACUAAACCAUUUCAAAAGUUGCAUCUAAAUUCCAUUAUAUUCAAUUCAAAGGAUUAUACAUCAUAACAUUCUCAUUAUAUCCAUUAAUUAUCUAUUAACAUUCUUCACUAACAUCACUUACAACCUGAUAUCAUUUAGAUAACCUGGUACAUGCCAUUCUUCAAAGAUAGAUACACCACCAAGUUUUUGAGUGUGGGAACUGACUUGGAUGCUGAGUUGUUACUUACUUUAUACCUAAGCUGUGCACGGAAACAAACCGUAUGCUGAGUAUGCACUCAGUGGUAUUUCUAUAAACUAAUACUUAAAACAAUAAUAAGCUAUGUAUAUACAUUAUAACUUAAACUUUUUACUUUCAUAAUCUUAAUAGUUUCACCCCUUACAUUCAUUUUACAUCUCUUCCCUGUAGUUAAGCAAUUCAUAUAUAUUUCUAUCUUCAUAUUAUUCGAUAACUUAAACAUUCGUAAAUCAAUCACAGUUACUUAAUCGAUAUCAGACAAUCUUUAGUACUUUCAUUUACCCCUAUUAACAUAACUCGGACCUAAACGGAUACGCGGAUCCAACCCACACACCGGGGAUAAUAUACAAUGUUUCAUCGGCUGAAACCGAAAUACACCGUAGGGUAACAGUAACAGUAACAGUAACAGUCAUAGUCAGGUACGAAGUAACUCUUCGAAACGAAUCCGGAACAGUCACAGUAGUCGACACAUAUAGUGUCUCAUCGGCACACACUCGAAAUAUCCCUAAACACUUCCAAUCCUAUGGCAUGCCAAUUGUAUCCAACUAGCCCGACACUGUUAAUAGGGUAUUCAAAUCAUUUCAUUUCAAUACAGAAGUAGUAACAGUUUCCAUCAUAUCAUUCAUUAUACAUUCUAACUAUUAAAAAUGACAAUUACAUUGUAUUAAAUCAUUAAGCAUAGUUUAUAGAAAUACAAACCGAAAUUCUCGGGUUUAUUCGAUAUCCUCGUUCACUUUCUCCUUUCCUUUUUUCGAUGACAUUUCCGGUGCUACGUUGGCUACAUAAAAUUUAACAUUUAAAAUUAUCAAAAUUUGUUAUUUAAUAACACGCUCUUUUAUUUUCAUAUAACUUUUACUAUAUUUCCAAUUAGGUCCUUCCACCAUAACUAUUUUUUUCUUCAAAUAAACCUUAAAAUUUUCAUUAUAUCCUUACUUUAAACAAGUUUCAACUCUUAAUAUUCAAUAUAAAACAUAAAUUCUACAAUUUAAACAAUUUAAUCCCUACUAUAACAAAACUUAUAUCUCUCUUUAUAAUUUAAUCCAUCUCUCACUUCUAACUUGAAUUUCUAUCACUUAAUAUCAUAAUUCAUCAAUUUAUUCAACUUAAUCAACAUCUAAAAAAAUUCAUUAACUUCCUUAUUUUUAACAUAAUUCAAGUAGUAUUUGUAAUGGCCUCAAUUCAAGGUUAUCGGAACAGUGGUUUCGUAACCAUAAAUUCGAUUUAAAAAGAAAUUUAUUUUAAUAUUUUUGCAUGAAUAUUUAUAUAAUAGGAAAAUCGUAUGAAAAUACAGAUAAAAUUUUUUUUACCGAUUUAGUGGUUAGUUAGAAAAAGAAAUUAUUGAAGAAAUUGGGUAAAAACAAAGUAUCGAGAUCUCUAUCUCAUAAAACCGAGUCGGAAAUAUUUUUAUAAAUAUUUAUAAAAUGUUAGCGAUGUGGUAUUAAAAUUUCGUUAGGAAAUUUUAAUGUUUGGGUAGUCAAUUAAAUGAAAAGGACUAAAUUGUAAAAGGUGUAAAAAUUGUUAAAAUGAUUAAAUAGCUUAAGAGUCUAAUGAGAAAGGAUUUAAAAGAAAAUUAGACCCAAAUAAAAGGAUUUAAAAGAAAAUUAGACCCAAAAUUUAUUUGGGCUGGACGGCAAGGCAUGAAAUCAGCAGGAAAAUUGAUGAUUUAAGGGUAAAAUUGGAAUCUUGCAUAAUUAACUAAAUAAAGAUAGGACUAAAUAGAAAAUAUCUAGAUUUCUCUUCAUUUUUCUUUAUUAUCAUCAACCAAAACACCACAGGAGGGGUUAUCUAAGCUGGUAUUUCAUAAUUUUUGCACCAAAUGAGUUAAUCCAUGCCUAUUUCUUAUAAUUUUUGUGUUUCUAAGACUUUUACAACUAGGUCCUACUUUUAAAUUCAUUAGUUUUUUAUUUCAUGGAUGAAAUUAAAAGUCACCAUGGUUUAUUUCUGUAAGUUUAUUAUGAAAUAGAAUGAAAUUGAAGCUUUAAUUUGUUUAUGAGAUGAUUUUAUUAGGCAAUUUCAAUGGAAAUUGAUUUUUAGGACCUAAUUGUGAAAAUGUGUGGAAUUAAAGUCUAGUGUUGAAAUUAUGAUUUCCAAAGGUUGUAAAAUAGUUUAAGGUGAUAGAAUAAAGUGUUAAUUGAGAACAAUCAGCUCAAUUGAGAGGCUAACUGAGUAGGGACGAAAUUAUCAUUUAUUAAAAGCCUAGGGAAAAAAUAGUAAUAAACAGCUUGCACUAAAACAGUUUUAGACAGCAGCAAUAGACUAACUUUGAAAAAUCACCAUAAAUUCUAUAAAUAUAAUUAGAAGAUGAAAAAAAUAUGGAAUUAAAUCUUAUUGAGUCUAGUUUCUCAUAGAAGAAACGGUGUAAGCAAUAGAUUUGUAAAUCUUGAGAUAUAAUGAAUUGUGUGAGACAAGGUCAGAAUGAAUUCGGGUUCCCCUGUUCUUACUUUGAAAAAUCAUUAAAAAUUGAAUAAAAAUAAAUAGGAGCUUAAAUUUAUAUUUCUAGAAUCCUGAAUAAGUCUAUUUUUAAGAGAAACAAACAAGAACAUCAUUUGAAUCCUAUAUAAAGAGACAAUUAAUUUUCAGUAAAGAAGGGUCAGAACUAUCAGACAGCAGAACAGGGGUGAAUUUAAAGAAUAAACUGUACUUAUUGACUAAACCAAAAAUUCUGAAAAUUUUAUGGUAAGAAUAUAUGUGAGUCUAGUUUCAGGGAAAAUUAGCGGAUCCUAAUUUAGAGUUCUGUAUCUCAAGAUAAAAAUAAUUUAAUGAUUAUGACUCAAGUAGACAGCUUUGAAUGAACUAUAAAUAAUAAUGAAAUUAUAGAGAAUGUUACAUAUGAACAUGAAAUGUAUUAAAUUGAUAAUUAAAUUUAUUUAUUUAGAUCCAGAAUAUUCAAAUAUGAAGCUAGAUCGAGGAAAGGAAAAAGUUCGGGAUUAGUAGAUUUUUGUUUACAAACAAGUCUCGAGGUAAGUUCAUGUAACUUGAAUUAUAUUCUUAAAUACUUGAAAUGUAUGUUAUUGAUGUGAAUAUGAUUUGAAUGUUCAUUGUAUGAAAAUUGAUAAAACAUUGAUAUAUUUGAUAAAAAGGGGAAGAAAUCUCAGUUGAAUGAAAGGAAAUUUCGAUGGAUCUCUGAAAAGGAAUUGACGGUAAAAAGGAUCUAGCCCGGACGGGUGACCCUAUCCUGAUAUAGCCCUCCCGAAGAAUAUGUGUAAAAUGGAUUUAGCCCAGACAGGUAAUUCGAAUCAGGGUCUGAAUUUAGCCUGGACUGGUAAUUCAGAUCCAAGCUCAUUAAAGUAAUUGUCGUUGUAGGGGAUUUAGCCUGGACUGGUAAUCCCGACAAUACUCUAUGAGUUUAUAUUAUAGGGGAUUUAGCCUAGACUGGUAAUCUCGCUGUAAGGAUGAGGUUUGCGGGAGUGUGCUCUCUGAAAUGGAAAUGUGCGCACAUGAAUAUGAAUUGACAGACCCGGAAAUGUACACUAAAAGUGUACCUCUGAAAAUCCAUCGAAAAUUCCAAGAAAUUCAACGGGAUAAAUAUGAAAAAAAAUAUAAGGGAAUGAAAAUCAUGUUAUUGAUGAGUUCAUCAAUCAUGAUAUAUAUAUUAUUGACACAUGAAAAUUAUUGUACUAACUUGAAUGUUGAGUUUGUGCAUGUUAGGGUAAUAAUGCAUUGAAUGAAUAUUUGAAUGUUUAUUGCAUUGUAUUGAAAAUAUUAGGUAAGUAUAAUUCUUGUUACAUGAGCUUACUAAGCACAAAGUGCUUACCUUGUUUCCUUUUUUCCUGUUUUGUAGUGUUAAGAGCUCGGAGGUCGGAUUUGGUCGGAGACACAUCACACUAUCAACUUCAAGAUUUCGGUAUAUCAAGAAACUUUAUUUUAAAAAUCAAUGGC
Molecule: long non-coding RNA, 9575 nt
Filed under: Gossypium barbadense (sea-island cotton)
Lineage: Eukaryota; Viridiplantae; Streptophyta; Magnoliopsida; Malvales; Malvaceae
Description: long non-coding RNA (GBAR_LNC008555)
Source: RNAcentral